RNAcentral lists this ribosomal RNA (420 nucleotides) under bacterium. Its description in RNAcentral is "partial 16S ribosomal RNA". It matches the Rfam family "Bacterial small subunit ribosomal RNA", at positions 355 to 776 of the family's 1533-position model. The record is from RNAcentral.
UGGGGGAUAUUGCACAAUGGGCGAAAGCCUGAUGCAGCGACGCCGCGUGGGGGAUGAAGGCUUUCGGGUUGUAAACCUCUUUCGCUAUCGAACAAGGCCCGCUUAGGGUGGGUUGAGGGUAGGUGGAGAAGAAGCGCCGGCUAACUACGUGCCAGCAGCCGCGGUAAUACGUAGGGCGCGAGCGUUGUCCGGAAUUAUUGGGCGUAAAGGGCUUGUAGGCGGCUUGUUGCGCCUGCUGUGAAAACGCGGGGCUUAACUUCGCGUGUGCAGUGGGUACGGGCAGGCUUGAGUGUGGUAGGGGUGACUGGAAUUCCAGGUGUAGCGGUGGAAUGCGCAGAUAUCUGGAGGAACACCGAUGGCGAAGGCAGGUCACUGGGCCAUUACUGACGCUGAGGAGCGAAAGCAUGGGUAGCGAACAGG